AACAUCAAUCUCUAGAAGAACCAAACCUCAGCACCAACCUGUUCAUCAUGAUGAUCAGAAUCCUCUGCCUGAGCGUCCUCGUGCUGCUUUUCUGCACAGACAUUGAAGCUAAAAAAGAAAAGACCGAAAAGUUCAAAAAGUUCAAGUGUUUCACUUGUACAGAGAAAUACUGCAAAAAACAACAGUAUUGUAGUGAAGGACAGGUCUGCAUGAGCGCCUCUGUUAUCGAAGUCACACAUGGACAUCAGAAUAAAUCCUACUACAGGUCCUGUACGUCACCUUCAUACUGUCCAAAGAGUGAAAAAACAGAGACCAUGUCCAUCGGCUUGGGUUAUCAGGUGUUUGUGGCGACCGUUAAGUGCUGCAAGUCCCAUCUCUGCAACAAAAAACCUCAACCCCACCCUAAGAUACCAUCAGGAAAUGGGUUGACGUGCCUUUUCUGCAGCAACACUAUAAACCCAAAGGAAUGCAAAGUCAAGGAAUGCAUUGGAAAUCAAACUCACUGCGUGCGAGCAAUCAGAAAUGGAACUCAUCAGAGUGGGUGUGCAACUAAAAACUUCUGUCACCCCAACAAGCCUGUUAAAGGCUUCGCUGGUGCCCUCAGUUUUCCAGCUGUGUGUGAGAAAGCAAAACCUGCACCUGAACCAACAACUGCUGAACCAACAAUUGCUGAACCAAAGUGUGUUCCAGUUGAAACCACUCCUGAACCAACCCUUCCACCCUGUGAUAGAAAGGGAUAACUACUCCCACCACGUAAAACCAGUUUCUUUGUCUUGCUGACAAAACCAUUAAAAGGUUGAUUAAAGUCUGGGUGAAUCUUUAGUGGAUCCUACAUCAAACAUAGAGAUCUUAACAAACUUAUCAGACCACCACCCACUGUGAGCUUAAAUCACAGCAUUGGUAAAUAUCUUUGUUUCUGUCAUUUGGCUAAUCUCCUAAACAAAAAAAAUAGUCGGUGGUUGAAUACAUUUGUUAACCAACUCAUGUGAUGUUUUGCUUUUAGUGAUGUUAUUAGAUGAUGAAUUAAUGAAGAUCAAAGCUUCUUUCAAAGGAGCUUUGAUGACUUCUAACUUCUAAAUGUGACUCUUUUAGUAAAGGUAGCAGGGCUGAGUUUCUAAUGCUUUCUUAAAAUGCUUUCUGCAUGGGAAC
RNAcentral lists this long non-coding RNA (1149 nucleotides) under Gouania willdenowi (blunt-snouted clingfish). RNAcentral's name for it is "lncRNA (ENSGWIG00000008816.1)". Lineage: Eukaryota; Metazoa; Chordata; Actinopteri; Blenniiformes; Gobiesocidae. The record is from RNAcentral.